AGCGAACGCUGGCGGCGUGCCUAAUACAUGCAAGUCGAACGAGAAAGUGGCUUCGGCCAUGAGUAAAGUGGCAGACGGGUGAGUAAUACUUAGGUAACCUACCCUUAAGAUGGGGACAACCUUCCGAAAGGAGGGCUAAUACCGAAUGAGACCACGGUGUCUGCGGACACAGGGGUUAAAGAUGGCCUCUAUUUAUAAGCUAUCACUUAAGGAUGGGCCUAAGCACCAUUAGCUAGUUGGAAGGUAAUGGCUUACCAAGGCUAUGAUGGUUAGCUGAUUCUGAGAGGUUGAUCAGCCACACUGGAACUGAGACACGGUCCAGACUCCUACGGGAGCAGCAGUA
Molecule: ribosomal RNA, 343 nt
Filed under: uncultured bacterium
Lineage: Bacteria
Description: bacterial SSU rRNA
Rfam family: Bacterial small subunit ribosomal RNA
Source: RNAcentral